This is a long non-coding RNA of Nycticebus coucang (slow loris), 282 nucleotides long. RefSeq lists it as uncharacterized. The transcript is spliced from 3 exons. Lineage: Eukaryota; Metazoa; Chordata; Mammalia; Primates; Lorisidae. The record is from RefSeq and is a predicted model, not a curated record.
AUGUAGUAAGUAGAGACAGCCCAGACGGAGCCAAAAGAGCUACUGGUGCUGGCGCCGCCCCUGCGUUAUCUCAACUGAUCCGCACAGCAGCCUGUGGUUCUCUCAGCCCCGUUCACGAUGAGGAAACCGAGACUCAGCAAAAAGGAGCCGCACUGCCCUCCCAGUUCCAGAUGAUUUUCAUCUCUCCUAAAGAUGACCUCCCUACAGAUUAACUGGUCACAGCCCACUUCUCUUCUCCCAGCCCCUGGUAAACACUAACUUGACUGGUUUUGAUAUUUCAUG